This 1464-nucleotide ribosomal RNA is filed under the name uncultured organism. Its description in RNAcentral is "SSU rRNA". It matches the Rfam family "Bacterial small subunit ribosomal RNA". The record is from RNAcentral.
ACGAACGCUGGCGGCGUGCCUAAUACAUGCAAGUAGAACGCUGAAGAGAGGAGCUUGCUCUUCUUGGAUGAGUUGCGAACGGGUGAGUAACGCGUAGGUAACCUGCCUGGUAGCGGGGGAUAACUAUUGGAAACGAUAGCUAAUACCGCAUAAAAUUGAUUAUUGCAUGAUAAUUAAUUGAAAGAUGCAAUUGCAUCACUACCAGAUGGACCUGCGUUGUAUUAGCUAGUUGGUGAGGUAACGGCUCACCAAGGCGACGAUACAUAGCCGACCUGAGAGGGUGAUCGGCCACACUGGGACUGAGACACGGCCCAGACUCCUACGGGAGGCAGCAGUAGGGAAUCUUCGGCAAUGGGGGGAACCCUGACCGAGCAACGCCGCGUGAGUGAAGAAGGUUUUCGGAUCGUACAGCUCUGUUGUAAGAGAAGAACGGGUGUGAGAGUGGAAAGUUCACACUGUGACGGUAUCUUACCAGAAAGGGACGGCUAACUACGUGCCAGCAGCCGCGGUAAUACGUAGGUCCCGAGCGUUGUCCGGAUUUAUUGGGCGUAAAGCGAGCGCAGGCGGUUAGAUAAGUCUGAAGUUAAAGGCUGUGGCUUAACCAUAGUAUGCUUUGGAAACUGUUUAACUUGAGUGCAGAAGGGGAGAGUGGAAUUCCAUGUGUAGCGGUGAAAUGCGUAGAUAUAUGGAGGAACACCGGUGGCGAAAGCGGCUCUCUGGUCUGUAACUGACGCUGAGGCUCGAAAAGCGUGGGGGAGCAAACAGGAUUAGAUACCCUGGUAGUUCCACGCCGUAAACGAUGAGUGCUAGGUGUUAGGCCCUUUCCGGGGCUUAGUGCCGCAGCUAACGCAUUAAGCACUCCGCCUGGGGAGUACGACCGCAAGGUUGAAACUCAAAGGAAUUGACGGGGGCCCGCACAAGCGGUGGAGCAUGUGGUUUAAUUCGAAGCGACGCGAAGAACCUUACCAGGUCUUGACAUCCCUCUGACCGCUCUAGAGAUAGAGUUUUCCUUCGGGACAGAGGUGACAGGUGGUGCAUGGUUGUCGUCAGCUCGUGUCGUGAGAUGUUGGGUUAAGUCCCGCAACGAGCGCAACCCCUAUUGUUAGUUGCCAUCAUUCAGUUGGGCACUCUAGCGAGACUGCCGGUAAUAAACCGGAGGAAGGUGGGGAUGACGUCAAAUCAUCAUGCCCCUUAUGACCUGGGCUACACACGUGCUACAAUGGCUGGUACAACGAGUCGCAAGCCGGUGACGGCAAGCUAAUCUCUGAAAGCCAGUCUCAGUUCGGAUUGUAGGCUGCAACUCGCCUACAUGAAGUCGGAAUCGCUAGUAAUCGCGGAUCAGCACGCCGCGGUGAAUACGUUCCCGGGCCUUGUACACACCGCCCGUCACACCACGAGAGUUUGUAACACCCGAAGUCGGUGAGGUAACCGUAAGGAGCCAGCCGCCUAAGGUGGGAUAGAUGA